GAUGAACGCUGGCGGCGUGCCUAAUACAUGCAAGUCGAGCGAACAGACGAGGAGCUUGCUCCACUGACGUUAGCGGCGGACGGGUGAGUAACACGUGGAUAACCUACCUAUAAGACUGGGAUAACUUCGGGAAACCGGAGCUAAUACCGGAUAAUAUAUUGAACCGCAUGGUUCAAUAGUGAAAGACGGUUUUGCUGUCACUUAUAGAUGGAUCCGCGCCGCAUUAGCUAGUUGGUAAGGUAACGGCUUACCAAGGCAACGAUGCGUAGCCGACCUGAGAGGGUGAUCGGCCACACUGGAACUGAGACACGGUCCAGACUCCUACGGGAGGCUGCAGUAGGGAAUCUUCCGCAAUGGGCGAAAGCCUGACGGAGCAACGCCGCGUGAGUGAUGAAGGUCUUCGGAUCGUAAAACUCUGUUAUUAGGGAAGAACAAAUGUGUAAGUAACUAUGCACGUCUUGACGGUACCUAAUCAGAAAGCCACGGCUAACUACGUG
Molecule: ribosomal RNA, 497 nt
Filed under: uncultured bacterium
Lineage: Bacteria
Description: partial 16S ribosomal RNA
Rfam family: Bacterial small subunit ribosomal RNA
Source: RNAcentral